This is a long non-coding RNA of Solenopsis invicta (red fire ant), 193 nucleotides long. RefSeq lists it as uncharacterized. The transcript has 2 exons. NCBI's taxonomy places the organism in Eukaryota, Metazoa, Arthropoda, Insecta, Hymenoptera, Formicidae. The record is from RefSeq and is a predicted model, not a curated record.
UUCACCAAAAGAGAAUAAGAUCUUCUCCUUGUUCGUUGUAUUAAGCUGACUUGGAACGCUUCUACAAACGGUAGAAUGUUUGGUCGAUGCGCAUUUACAAAAAAUAGCCUAAAAAAUCUUUAUUGCCCUCUUGCUUCACUAGCCUGUGCAUCCGUGUUGAUUUCUACCUCAAGACUGAUCUUCGAACGCUACG